RNAcentral lists this ribosomal RNA (253 nucleotides) under uncultured bacterium. Its description in RNAcentral is "partial 16S ribosomal RNA". It matches the Rfam family "Bacterial small subunit ribosomal RNA", at positions 524 to 776 of the family's 1533-position model. The record is from RNAcentral.
UACGGAGGGGGCUAGCGUUGUUCGGAAUUAUUGGGCGUAAAGGGCGCGUAGGCGGCUUUGCAAGUGGCGGGUGAAAUCCCUCGGCUUAACCGAGGAACUGCCUGCCAGACUGUGAGGCUUGAGACCGGGAGAGGUGAGUGGAAUUCCCAGUGUAGCGGUGAAAUGCGUAGAUAUUGGGAGGAACACCAGUGGCGAAGGCGGCUCACUGGACCGGAACUGACGCUGAGGCGCGAAAGCGUGGGGAGCAAACAGG